CCAGUCUGGAAGAAUCUGGAGACAGGUGCUGCAUGGCUGUCGUCAGCUCGUGUCGUGAGAUGUUGGGUUAAGUCCCGCAACGAGCGCAACCCUUGCCUUUAGUUGCCAGCAGUUCGGCUGGGCACUCUAAAGGGACUGCCGGUGUUAAACCGGAGGAAGGUGGGGAGUGACGUCAAGUCCUCAUGGCCUUUAUGACCAGGGCUACACACGUACUACAAUGGCCGAUACAAAGGGCAGCGACACUGCGAGGUGAAGCCAAUCCCGUAAAAAUCGGUCUCAGUCCGGAUUGGAGUCUGCAACUCGACUCCAUGAAGUUGGAAUCGCUAGUAAUCGUGGAUCAGCAUGCCACGGUGAAUACGUUCCCGGGCCUU
This 371-nucleotide ribosomal RNA is filed under the name uncultured Desulfobulbus sp. Its description in RNAcentral is "bacterial SSU rRNA". It matches the Rfam family "Bacterial small subunit ribosomal RNA", at positions 1012 to 1382 of the family's 1533-position model. Lineage: Bacteria; Pseudomonadati; Thermodesulfobacteriota; Desulfobulbia; Desulfobulbales; Desulfobulbaceae. The record is from RNAcentral.